GUUCAUCAGCUCACACGCGCUAGGAAUGGCAUUGCUGCACACUACCAGAUCACACAACAACACAGUCUAUGGGAAAAUUCACACAGACAGCAACACGCUUAUUUACAAAUUAUCCGAUGCACAUUAGGGCAUAGCAAGUUGAGGAAACCUGUACCGGAGACACCUCACAAAAACAACAGCACAUACAGAUAGAUAGAGCACCAGUCAGUCAAGAGGAGAGGGGGGUUCAGUCCUUCAAAGAAAGAUAAGAAAAUAUCACACUUCAAUUGUUGGAGAAAAACUGAACGCGUCAGCGUUAUUUGGAAGUUUUUUUGAGCGAUUUUUUUUGCAUACUGGCCUAUCAUCACAUCUCGGCAUCCUUACAAAUAGCAUCGGUCCACUUUGGAAGUGACGAGUGUGCCAACAGUAGUGAGGACGCGUUUCCUGCCCCGCACACCACCGGCAUCAAUGUCAUUGCUAACCUCCUGAAAGCUGCAGUUGUCUCGUCGCUGAUACAGAGAGAAAUCCAGACAUAGAAUGGCCGAUGAGCUGGUGACCGUCACUCAUGGGAUUGUGGUGUGACUUGUUCGGCUGGAGGGAAGACUGCUGAUAUUCUUUGAAAAAUCUUCAUUGACUCAGUGCGUGUUCAAUCUACCAGAGCAGGGAUGAUCAGGAUCUUCCCGGAUUUCAGCGUUCAGGUGACGGCGGCAGGUGGAGGAGCCGGGGGAAUGCCAUCAGGUCCUGCGGUGGGGAGAAUCCCCGGUACCACUAACGGGAACCCGCAGAACGUCCAGGGGAUCACGUCCUAUCAACAAAGGGAAAUUAAAACCCUACACCCUUUCUGCAUGGAGGGAUCAGAGGAGGAGGCCAUAGUUGAUGCCCAAUUCAUGUCCAAAUUCCCCCAGUAAGUUGGAAGUCUUAUUUCACACAUUCAUUUAGGACAUUAAGUGGUUUUAAAACAUUGUUUAUUUAUAUCACCAAGGUCAUUUUGAGUGCCUGCGUAGAUUUUCAUGUCCUUUGAUACUUGUUAGCCUGACAUAGUGCUGCGUAUGAAACCAAGUCAAUAAACGGAGCAGCACUAAACCUCUUUGAAGAGAAAGUGAGAUAGAGAGAGAGAGAGAGAGAGAGAGAGAGAUAGUGAGAGAGAGAGAGCGAGAGAGAGAGAGACAGAGAGAGAGAGAGAGAGAGAGAGAGAGAGAGAGAGAGAGAGAGAGAGAGAGAGAGAGAGAGAGAGAGAAGCAUUAGCUGAUGAAUGAGGGGCUUGUAGUCAUGUUGCACUUUGUCCGAUU
RNAcentral lists this long non-coding RNA (1268 nucleotides) under Oncorhynchus kisutch (coho salmon). RNAcentral's name for it is "lncRNA (ENSOKIG00005009837.1)". Lineage: Eukaryota; Metazoa; Chordata; Actinopteri; Salmoniformes; Salmonidae. The record is from RNAcentral.